CCCUUCUUUACCUUUAUGCUGCGAUGGAAAUGGCUCACCCUGGCUUCAUACAAUGCGGUUGGUAUGUUUAUGGGUUGAUCUGCCAGAGUCCACAGGAGGAGACGCCCCUGCUGCUGCUGCCACUGCCACCGCCGCUGCGCCUGCUGCCCCCGGUGCUGAGCUCAUGUCAGUAUUUGAUGGAUUAGGAGAUGUAAUGAAGCCCACUGUGACGCCUCAGGCAGGUGAUGUUGACACCUCAAUGGCGAACAUGGCAAGUAAUCUCACAAUGGGAACUCCAGCGGCCCCUCAGGUAGCUCCCCCCAGUUGGGGUGCCCCCAUGGUAAAUGUUGUCUGUGUCUUAUAG
This 343-nucleotide long non-coding RNA is filed under the name Sphaeramia orbicularis (orbiculate cardinalfish). RNAcentral's name for it is "lncRNA (ENSSORG00005023250.1)". Lineage: Eukaryota; Metazoa; Chordata; Actinopteri; Kurtiformes; Apogonidae. The record is from RNAcentral.